RNAcentral lists this long non-coding RNA (333 nucleotides) under Olea europaea (common olive). RNAcentral describes it as "long non-coding RNA (OEUR_LNC005301)". Lineage: Eukaryota; Viridiplantae; Streptophyta; Magnoliopsida; Lamiales; Oleaceae. The record is from RNAcentral.
AAUGAUGGAAGGCAAUUUUUGGGCUGCUCAUGGGCCAUUUUGCUUGCUGAGAGUGCUUCUCAGCUUGCUUGCUGAGGGUGUUUCUCAGCCUAUUUGCUCGCUAUAGCAGCGAUGCAUUUAGGAAGGUGGUGAGGCCAGUACACCCUCUCACUCGUCAAUUCCACCGCUGCAGCGAUGCAUUUAGGAAGGCAGUGUGAAGCUUACUCAGUGAUUGGCUGGGAGAUCAUCUUACUUUAGUUGUAUUUUGUAACACGCCUAUUACCUGUAUCUUUUAUAUUCUUGUAAUGAACGUUUGGUAAUAAAGAACUUUAUUUGAACGUAUUUCAUUCUGUC